Molecule: transfer RNA, 83 nt
Filed under: Canis lupus familiaris (dog)
Lineage: Eukaryota; Metazoa; Chordata; Mammalia; Carnivora; Canidae
Also listed under: 2 other names
Rfam family: tRNA
About the family: Transfer RNA (tRNA) molecules are approximately 80 nucleotides in length. Their secondary structure includes four short double-helical elements and three loops (D, anti-codon, and T loops).
Source: Rfam by way of RNAcentral
GCCUGGGUGGCUCAGCAGUUGAGCAUCUGCCUUUGGCUCAGGUCGUGAUCCUGGGGGUCCAGGAUCGAAUCCUGAAUCAGGCU